RNAcentral lists this ribosomal RNA (490 nucleotides) under uncultured bacterium. Its description in RNAcentral is "partial 16S ribosomal RNA". It matches the Rfam family "Bacterial small subunit ribosomal RNA", at positions 30 to 507 of the family's 1533-position model. The record is from RNAcentral.
AUUGAACGCUGGCGGCAGGCCUAACACAUGCAAGUCGAACGGUAACAGGGAUCAGCUUGCUGAUUCGCUGACGAGUGGCGGACGGGUGAGUCAUGUCUGGGAAACUGCCUGAUGGAGGGGGAUAACUACUGGAAACGGUAGCUAAUACCGCAUAACGUCGCAAGACCAAAGAGGGGGACCUUCGGGCGUCUUGCCAUCGGAUGUGCCCAGAUGGGAUUAGCUAGUAGGUGGGGUAACGGCUCACCUAGGCGACGAUCCCUAGCUGGUCUGAGAGGAUGACCAGCCACACUGGAACUGAGACACGGUCCAGACUCCUACGGGAGGCAGCAGUGGGGAAUAUUGCACAAUGGGCGCAAGCCUGAUGCAGCCAUGCCGCGUGUAUGAAGAAGGCCUUCGGGUUGUAAAGUACUUUCAGCGGGGAGGAAGGGAGUAAAGUUAAUACCUUUGCUCAUUGACGUUACCCGCAGAAGAAGCACCGGCUAACUCCGUG